AGCAUACAUUGAAUUAUGUGAUGAUCUGUCCAAAAAAAUGUUAGAAAGAAAAUAGAAAUGAAAAAAGGAAAGAGAAAAAAAUAAGGAAACUAUGGAAUUUUAUUUGGUGGCCCAUGUAAAAGAUCAUUAAUUCAGCCCAAACCCAAGUUACACCAGAUCCAGACGUUUCUUUACCAUCACCUUUUCACUGCUCCAGCGAAGAAGGCACACAGCCAGCCGCCGCCGCCGAUUAUUCAUCUUCCUCACAGCGCCGGCGCUACAUCUUCCGCUACCUCGGCACAGGCGACGGCGGGGGCGCUCAGGCUCGGGCUCGCGCUCGGAGCGACGGCGUCAGCGGCUUCCCCCUCCGCCUCUUGCCAGUCGCCUCGCGCCCUUGCCUCCGGUCCUCCGCACACCAGCCGGUGACCCUGUGUGCGUGCCCCCCUCUCUCUCUCCUCCCGCCUCCGGUGGAUCGUCAAACGGAGCCAGGCCUCGGCGUCUGCGCCGCGCGCGGCCUGAGGGCAGCCGGGGGGGGGGGGGGGGGGGGUUCAGCAGCCGCUGCUCCAGCAAGGCGGUCGCGGGGCUUUGGGAGCGCUUAUGCCCCAAAGCGAAGAUCAUGUCGAGAGCCUUAGCGCGUCACCCGGUACCUCCUUUCCUGAAACUUCGUUCCACGGUUUGCGACGACGGCUACUGGAUGGGCAGAUUGGACCACAAGGACUGGCUCGCUCCAAACGAGGUGCUCAAAGUAUUUGUGAACAUCAGGGACACUAGCCUGAUAAACAGCGUAUUCAAGAAGGCAUGCAGCCGGAGAGACUACAAGCCCAGCGAGGCGCUCUACAGCUUGAUGAUCGACAGGCUGGCCUGCGCCAGGAGGUUCAGUGAUGUGGAGGAGUUGCUGUCCAAGGCAAGAACCGAAAAGUUGAGGUUUUCAGACGAGUUCUUCUACAGGCUGAUCAAGAUGUACGGCAACGUGGCAGAACAUCCUCAGAAAGCCAUGGACACCCUCUUUGCAAUGCCUGGGUAUAAUUGUUGGCCUUCUACAAAGACAUUCAAUUACGUCCUUCACAUGCUUGUGUGCAAGCGGCAGUACGAGGUUGUUCAUGAGGUCUACUCGAGCGCGCCCAGGCUUGGGGUGACGUUGGACACAUGUUCUUUCAAUAUCCUUGUCAAGGGUUUGUGCCAGUACGGUAAAUUUGAUGAGGCUAUCUCCUUGCUGCAUGAGAUGCCGAAGCAAGGGUGUCAGCCUAACGCGACAACCUACUCGACCUUCAUGCAUUUCCUCUGUCAGCGCAGUCAGGUUGAUAAAGCAUUUGAGCUGUUUGAGAGAAUGCGGAAGCAGGAUAUUGCUGCAGAUACAGUUGUGUACAAUAUUUUGAUCUCUGGUCUCUGCAGGGACGAAAGAGUGACCGAGGCAUUCGACCUGUUCAAGUCAAUGACUUCUGAAGGGUGCUGUCCUAAUUCAGGGACAUAUCAGGUACUUCUUGAUGGUCUAAUCAGUUUAGGAAAACUUUUUGAAGCCAAAAGCCUUGUUUGCACUAUGAGUACAGAGGGUGUGAGGCCGAGCUUCCAAUCAUACAAGCUACUGAUUGAUGGCCUCUGUAGUGAUGACUGCGUGGGUGAUGCACAUCUUGUCUUGAAGCAAAUGGUGGGCCAAGGUUUUGUUCCCCGGAUGGGCACUUGGACAAAACUUCUCACAUCCAUGUUCAAGUUUUAGCUUCCGCAUCGGUGAUUUCCUUGGCCUAACAAGACACAUGAAUGAAAAAUUCAAAUUUUGGCAGACUCUUGACUGAAGGUCAUCAAGUUUGGUUAGAGGAGCAAGUGGACCAAUGGCGGCUUGAGUUUGUGCUUGUAGUCCUGCAUACCAUUGCUACCUAUACAUGAUUAUCGUUUGUUGGAAUAGCUUCCACGGACAUCAACCUGAAUUAUAUAAGUCUGACAAGAAAAACCGUUCGAUUCUGUAGGUGAUUUAUGUUCUGGGCAGUUGAAUGACUAAUCUUGGGCAUUUGAAAGCCUACAGAACUCUUCGAACCCUGUUAUGCAAGGUCCAAGUGCGCUGUAAACCCUCUGAAACAAAGUUGGUCACCAUCAUCUAUCUACUCGCAAGCCAAUCUCAACAACAUCAUCUGGUGACAUCUGUAGGGCGGCUUUCCUCCAAGACCACAUAAUAAGUUGGAAAUUUUCCUCUUAACUGCCAAACAGCUGAUUCAAAGCCCUCUCCUUCCCGUACCAGACAGCGUCAUAAGAAAUGUGCAUCUUACAGAGUGGACUGCAUGCAACUC
Zea mays is the source of this 2258-nucleotide RNA transcript. RefSeq lists it as uncharacterized. The record is from RefSeq and is marked provisional. The transcript is spliced from 2 exons. NCBI's taxonomy places the organism in Eukaryota, Viridiplantae, Streptophyta, Magnoliopsida, Poales, Poaceae.